This 723-nucleotide ribosomal RNA is filed under the name Vibrio sp. 1A02. RNAcentral describes it as "bacterial SSU rRNA". It matches the Rfam family "Bacterial small subunit ribosomal RNA", at positions 33 to 735 of the family's 1533-position model. The record is from RNAcentral. Lineage: Bacteria; Pseudomonadati; Pseudomonadota; Gammaproteobacteria; Vibrionales; Vibrionaceae.
ACGCUGGCGGCAGGCCUAACACAUGCAAGUCGAGCGGAAACGACUUAACUGAACCUUCGGGGAACGUUAAGGGCGUCGAGCGGCGGACGGGUGAGUAAUGCCUAGGAAAUUGCCUUGAUGUGGGGGAUAACCAUUGGAAACGAUGGCUAAUACCGCAUAAUGCCUUCGGGCCAAAGAGGGGGACCUUCGGGCCUCUCGCGUCAAGAUAUGCCUAGGUGGGAUUAGCUAGUUGGUGAGGUAAGGGCUCACCAAGGCGACGAUCCCUAGCUGGUCUGAGAGGAUGAUCAGCCACACUGGAACUGAGACACGGUCCAGACUCCUACGGGAGGCAGCAGUGGGGAAUAUUGCACAAUGGGCGCAAGCCUGAUGCAGCCAUGCCGCGUGUAUGAAGAAGGCCUUCGGGUUGUAAAGUACUUUCAGUCGUGAGGAAGGUUUCGUAGUUAAUAACUGCGUUGCUUGACGUUAGCGACAGAAGAAGCACCGGCUAACUCCGUGCCAGCAGCCGCGGUAAUACGGAGGGUGCGAGCGUUAAUCGGAAUUACUGGGCGUAAAGCGCAUGCAGGUGGUUCGUUAAGUCAGAUGUGAAAGCCCGGGGCUCAACCUCGGAAUUGCAUUUGAAACUGGCGGACUAGAGUACUGUAGAGGGGGGUAGAAUUUCAGGUGUAGCGGUGAAAUGCGUAGAGAUCUGAAGGAAUACCAGUGGCGAAGGCGGCCCCCUGGACA